AGAGUUUGAUCCUGGCUCAGGAUGAACGCUGGCGGCGUGCCUAAUACAUGCAAGUCGAGCGAAUGGAUUGAGAGCUUGCUCUCAAGAAGUUAGCGGCGGACGGGUGAGUAACACGUGGGUAACCUGCCCAUAAGACUGGGAUAACUCCGGGAAACCGGGGCUAAUACCGGAUAACAUUUUGAACUGCAUGGUUCGAAAUUGAAAGGCGGCUUCGGCUGUCACUUAUGGAUGGACCCGCGUCGCAUCAGCUAGUUGGUGAGGUAACGGCUCACCAAGGCAACGAUGCGUAGCCGACCUGAGAGGGUGAUCGGCCACACUGGGACUGAGACACGGCCCAGACUCCUACGGGAGGCAGCAGUAGGGAAUCUUCCGCAAUGGACGAAAGUCUGACGGAGCAACGCCGCGUGAGUGAUGAAGGCUUUCGGGUCGUAAAACUCUGUUGUUAGGGAAGAACAAGUGCUAGUUGAAUAAGCUGGCACCUUGACGGUACCUAACCAGAAAGCCACGGCUAACUACGUGCCAGCCGCCGCGGUAAUUC
RNAcentral lists this ribosomal RNA (538 nucleotides) under uncultured bacterium. RNAcentral's name for it is "bacterial SSU rRNA". It matches the Rfam family "Bacterial small subunit ribosomal RNA", at positions 8 to 526 of the family's 1533-position model. The record is from RNAcentral.